This 419-nucleotide ribosomal RNA is filed under the name uncultured bacterium. Its description in RNAcentral is "bacterial SSU rRNA". It matches the Rfam family "Bacterial small subunit ribosomal RNA", at positions 358 to 774 of the family's 1533-position model. The record is from RNAcentral.
GGAAUAUUGGACAAUGGCCGGGAGGCUGAUCCAGCCAUGCCGCGUGCGGGAGGACGGCCCUAUGGGUUGUAAACCGCUUUUGUCAGGGAGCAAUAAGGUCCACGUGUGGACCGAUGAGAGUACCUGGCGAAUAAGCAUCGGCUAACUACGUGCCAGCAGCCGCGGUAAUACGUAGGUGGCAAGCGUUAUCCGGAUUUAUUGGGCGUAAAGCGAGCGCAGGCGGUUUCUUAAGUCUGAUGUGAAAGCCUUCGGCUUAACCGAAGAAGUGCAUCGGAAACUGGGAAACUUGAGUGCAGAAGAGGACAGUGGAACUCCAUGUGUAGCGGUGAAAUGCGUAGAUAUAUGGAAGAACACCAGUGGCGAAGGCGGCUGUCUGGUCUGUAACUGACGCUGAGGCUCGAAAGCAUGGGUAGCGAACA